Molecule: unclassified non-coding RNA, 4961 nt
Filed under: Hevea brasiliensis (rubber tree)
Lineage: Eukaryota; Viridiplantae; Streptophyta; Magnoliopsida; Malpighiales; Euphorbiaceae
Source: RNAcentral
CAAUGAGAUUUGGCUCCAUGAACUAGACUAGAGUCGUUUUCAAGGCUGUGUUUGCAAAUUCAAACCCCAAUCCAAGCUUAAUUUAAAAAAAAAUGAAGGCAAGAUAAAGAAACAUGCUCAUAAAAGCUUUAUUUAGGGUACGAAAUACAUCACCAAUUCCUAACAUUUAUGAUUUACAUAAAGCGCACGGAAUGCUGGCCAUUUUCAAUUACAGUUCAGUUGUUUACUGUUUCUUCUGCUGAGACUUCAGUUCAUUUACCCUCUCUUCUGUAGCCUUCAGUGCCUUCCCAUAUUUGAAAAUUAACUGCAAUCAAAUAUUCCAAAGCUUCAAUAGUUGUCCUAGUUCAAAUGGCAAUCACUCUAUGCAAAGGGCAGAAUCAAUAUUUUUCCUCCUGACAAGGAAAUGUUGCAUCCAACAAAAGGUUUCAAGAACUAUUUUAUAAGCAACAAUUGAAGCAGGUAAUUUUUUUGGGACUAACUAUUCCAUUCCACCAAAUAUAUAAAAAAGAAAAUAAAAAAUGUAGCAGACUUGACAAACGUACAAGUGAAAUAUUCUGUCAACCUCCAGAAAAAAUCGUCUGAAUCUAUACAAGUGCAAUUACUUUGUGACUAAAUUUUAUUUGAUUGAUGUGGAAAACCAAAUAUGAAAAGAAAAUUGAAUAACUCACAUCAAAAUGCUGUUGAUUUUGCAUGGUUUAACUCGAGAAAAACAUACUAUUUAUACGUAGAGAGGCAGUGAUGGAAGCAACAUCUAGACAUAGAUUGCUUUUAGUGUGCUUCACUAACAAUUUGAGUCUUUUAGUUAGGCCAAUUAAAAGAAAAAUCAAACUUUUAAAAUUUUAUUUGAGAAUUAUUUUAGGAGCAAAAUAUGUUUAUCCAAGACAUGUACACAUUCAACCUGCUCCCAAUUAAAAUUAAAAUUUAGGGUAGCCCCUGCCAACCUCCCCUUGGGUCUGCUGUUGGUUUUACUCAACCAUAUGGUUCAACAACCAGAUUACAUGUUUACUUCAUUUUUAUCCUUUUCCCUAUAUAUUUAAUUUCAUUUAGGUAAUUUUAUAACUUUAAACUAUAAUUAAAUAUAUUCAAAGACUAAUGGUUACUAGUUGAACAUUUAUUUUCGCAUUUAACUAAUAACUCUUCUUCCUAGUAAAAUGUUACCCAACCAUGUGAAUUGCUUUGCUUUCUAUUCACCAUCUCAAGUUGCUCCUCCUGGACAUCUUUAAGUAAUGCCCAAAUUUAUUCUCUUUCAACAUCCAAUUUUAAUAACAUGAACAUAGACAUUCUCUUUGUUAUUAUGGCAAUGCAAAGGAGUAAAAAAUGGUCAAAUCAUACCUCAUCAACCUCUUCAGGGGUGAUUAUAAUUGGUGGAGACAUCAUUAUGUUAUCCCCUGCAACACGCACUAGCAUCCCAUGCUUUUCACAUUGUGCUCCAAAAUAUGCACCUAUACCUGAAUGCCAAUUGUAAACAAGUAUUCAUCAACAAGGAUAAUAAAAGAUUAAAAAUACUAGAACAAUUGGUGAGAAAAUACAAAACCAGAUGAGUGCUUAAAUGCAAUUCCUGUCCAUGGGCAGGCAACAAGUUUCCACAGAAAAUCUGGCCUUACAGAUUCUCUUUUGAUUCUGUUCUCAAGUAUAUGCUUUCAAAAAUAACAAGAGAAAAUUUUGAAAUAAUUUUCUUGUUCUUAAGAUAUUUUGUAUUUCCAUUUACCUACUGAUAAUUUUUUAAAUUACGGAUAACAAUUUCUCCUGUUCUAAAAAAUGGAGGUCAAUUUGAGUACAAGUUUUGAGAGAAAUGUUAUAGAAGAUUAAUAAUCAGCAAAAUAAAAAUAAAAAUAAAUCUUAAGCAAUUAUGAGUAGUAACAAAGGAUGAUGAAACUUGCCCCAUUCAGGUGGAAAUGGAUCAUUAGGUGACUUAUUGUCGGUAAACUCUGUACCAAGAAUCAAGCCAGUUCCUCGUAUCUCCCCUAUGAUAGGACUGUCAGAAAAGGCUUUUAAACCAUCUUGAAACUUGGGGGCAAUUUGUUUUACAUGCUCAGUAAUGUUUCUCUCCUUGUAUAACUUGAGUGCUUCAAUAGCAACAGCACACGAUACAGGAUGGCCAGAAUAAGUGAAUCCAUGAGAAAAAGUACCAAGUUUGUUGCUCUGAGAGUAUAUAACAUCUGAAACUUCUGGGCUCACCAUAGCAGCUCCAAUUGGCAUAUAUGCAGAAGAAAGCGCCUUUGCUACAGAUACAAGGUCCGGUUUAAUGUUGUAUUUAUCACACCCAAACAUUGUCCCAAGCCUUCCAAAUGCACAGAUUACCUCAUCAGCAAUAAAUAGAAUGUCAUAUUUUUUUACAACAGCUUGCACCUUUUCAAAAUAAGUUGCUGGGGGAGGUAUCACACCUCCUGCCCCCAUGACAGGCUCAGCAAUAAAUGCAGCAAUCGUCUCAGGUCCUUCUUUCAGGAUGAGGUUCUCCAAAUUGUUGGCUAAUCUGGUUGCGAAUUCCUUCUCUGUCUCACCUGGAAGAUGAUAGCGCCAGUAAUGAGGGCAGUCAGUGUGCAAUACAAAUGGAGCUGGAAGAUCAAAUUUUUGGUGCAAUGCUGGCAGGCCAGAAAGACUGGCUGCUAUCAAAGUUGAACCAUGGUACGAUUUUGUGCGAGCUAUAAACUUUUUCUUAUCUGGUCUUCCAAGAGCAUUGUUGUAGUACCAAACUAGCUUCACCUGAGUGUCGUUUGCUUCUGAUCCACUAUUUGUAAAGAAGGCUUUUGCCAUUUUAGUUGCUGUAAAAGUUUCUAGAAGGUCCUUUGCAAGAUCCAAAGAAGGUUUUGUAGUACGAUUCCAAAAGGAGUGGUAAAAUGGCAACUUAUUCAAUUGUGCCGUCGCAGCAGCCACAAGCUUCGGUUCAUUUCCUCCUGCAGAUAGACAUUACUUCAGCAGCUGCAUCCAAUUUUUUCCACUUACACAUACUUAAUGGGACCUAGAUAGACAUGGGGACAAUGCUCUUCUAGCUCUAGCCUCUAGGUAUUGGUCAAAACCCCAUAUACUAAAAUCUGACUUGCAACUGACUAGUCACAACUUGCAACAUUCAGUUGUUCCAGUUAUGCAAAGUAGAAAUAAAUGAGAUGCCUGAAUAAUAAACCAAUAUGAAACAGUGUCUUAGGCACCAUUUCAUGACAAUGUUAAAUUUUAUGGCACAUUUCUAUUGACAUUAAAGAAUUGGGGUUAACAAUUACAAGAGUCCUGUUUAAGGGUGUAAUAAUUAAGGGGGUAAAGAAGAGGAAAAAGGUUAUAAGAGUAACAAUUAAGUGUGUUUUGGUACAAAGUGAAAGAAACAAGGAGACCGUUAUAAUUUUAUUAUUUUAAUAUUAUAAUAUUAAUUUUUUUUAAUUACAACAAAUGCUAAUAAAAUGAAAUAAAUAAUAUUGUAAACCCCACCCCAAUUCUUCCUCCCUUUAACCUGUUGGGUUGGGGGGUGUGGUUAAUAAAAACAGACUAUAACAGAGUUUAGCAUUAACCCUCUUAACUGUUAAAGAAUAAGGGAUUAAGGUGUGUCAAUGGCUCACCCUGUUUAUUCUCAGAACAAACACAUUAAAGUUAUCAUUCUAUAUAAAUGGAAAUUAAAUGAUCUUCGUAUUUUCAGAUAUCAUUUUACCAAUCCAAUAUGGAUAUUUAUCACCAAUAUUUCUGCUAUUUUACAUUAUCACCCACAAUAAAUGAUUUCUACAUUUAUCAUUUCAUGUUCAGCACAUGUCCUGAAGUCUAUGUCAUGGAAAACAUGUCUUGACUGUUGAUCAUAGCCAUAUGCUAGUCCCAGUGUAUCCUUUCUAGCAGAGGUGGCUUAUUUCUUAGUAAGCUAACUGAAAAGUGAACACCACAUUUCAUCAUCCUCAAUUCUAUGGACCAAACAAGCCUAAAUGUUUACAGUUGAUUAUAGAUAUAUUGUAACCAUACUUUAUAAACUUUUAAGUGUCUUCAAAGUUUAGUAUGUAACUAAGUUACCUUAUCUAUAUACAUAAUAAAGUUGAUUCUAUUUAGACAAGAAAAUCACUGCACUAUUUGGCUCAACUUUUUUUUUUAAAAAUUUUUAAAAUGUCAUUUUCAGCACUUCUUUUGUUUUGCCUUGUGUUUGUAUGUAGAAUUUACAUGUGCAACAAACCAAAAAAAAAGAAAAAAUCAAGAUGAAAGUAGAAAUGACAAUAAAGGGUGGUCUAUGACAUAGAAAUGAGAAAGGUGAGAAAGUAUUAUAAUUACCCAAGGCAGUGCACCAAAGACCAGCAAGAGUAUCGAGAUACUUCUUCCCAUUAAUGUCAUAAACAUAGCUACCCUAGAACAUUGACCAACUUCCUUUUAAUUAUAUAACUAAGAACAGAAACAACUUUAGAUUAUUAAGAAAAAAACAUUUUAUAACCAAAAAAAUAAAAAAUUCAAAGUACACCUCAGACUUCUCUAUGACUAGAGGAUUCACGUCAGUACUCUGCCACCCAGCAGUGAAAGGUGCCAGCAUAUCAUGCCCCUUAUAACCUCCAACACCCUGGGAAUCAGCAGUUGAAUCUUCCUUUUGCAAAGAUGCCUCUGUACAAUAAAAUUUGGCCAGGAAAGGAGCCUGAAGUAAAUGUUUCUGUGAACUUCCAGAAGCAGUAACACUUUUGGUGUACGAACCGAACUGAAAAGCAAAAGUAAAGAAAGCAUUAAAAUGUAUUGACACCAAGCACUGCUUACCGAGUAAACAAAAAAUUCAGUGUGUUGGAACAGCCUGCAAUAUUGAGCAAUUCAGUUCAGUACCCUGCAACCAUUGAUCAUGGUUCCAGUUCCAUCAUCUUCAAUGGAGUCAUUCCAACUAAUGCAUCCUUCCAAAUUUUAUUACUCUCUCCAGCACAAAUGUUAGAAUAUUUAUUGUCAUUUCUUCCAAGCUUCAAUCUUUUGGCGGAAUGUUAGUAGUUGUUUCAUUUUUUUUUUAUUUUCUUUUCCUUCUUUUUUCC